UCGCAUCGAUGAAGAACGCAGCGAAAUGCGAUAAGUAAUGUGAAUUGCAGAAUUCAGUGAAUCAUCGAAUCUUUGAACGCACCUUGCGCUCCUUGGUAUUCUGAGGAGCAUGCCUGUUUGAGUGUCAUUAAAUUCUCAACCCAUCCCAACUUGUUUGGUGAUGUGGCUUGGAUGUGGGGUUUGUUGCAGGCCUUUGUAAUAAAAGGUCAGCUCCCCUGAAAUGCAUUAGCGGAA
RNAcentral lists this ribosomal RNA (234 nucleotides) under Cystolepiota cystophora. RNAcentral describes it as "5.8S ribosomal RNA". The stretch from base 1 to 127 matches the Rfam family "5.8S ribosomal RNA", at positions 28 to 154 of the family's 154-position model. From Rfam's summary of the family: 5.8S ribosomal RNA (5.8S rRNA) is a component of the large subunit of the eukaryotic ribosome. It is transcribed by RNA polymerase I as part of the 45S precursor that also contains 18S and 28S rRNA. Lineage: Eukaryota; Fungi; Basidiomycota; Agaricomycetes; Agaricales; Agaricaceae. The record is from RNAcentral.